UACGUAGGGGGCUAGCGUUGUCCGGAAUCAUUGGGCGUAAAGAGCGUGUAGGCGGCCAGGUAGGUCCGGUGUGAAAACUCGAGGCUCAACCUCGAGAGGUCAUCGGAAACCAUCUGGCUAGAGUCCGGAAGAGGAGAGUGGAAUUCCCGGUGUAGCGGUGAAAUGCGCAGAUAUCGGGAAGAACACCUAUGGCGAAGGCAGCUCUCUGGGACGGUACUGACGCUGAGACGCGAAAGCGUGGGGAGCGAACGGG
Molecule: ribosomal RNA, 253 nt
Filed under: uncultured bacterium
Lineage: Bacteria
Description: partial 16S ribosomal RNA
Rfam family: Bacterial small subunit ribosomal RNA
Source: RNAcentral